GCGCGAUGCGCGGCUGCUGGCGCGUCGCAAAACCGGGCUGAGGUGUCCGGCGCCGAGCUGGGGGCGGGACGCGCGGCACUAUGGCUGAGGGUAGCGGGGAAGUAGUCGCAGUGCCCGCGACCGGGGCUGCCAACGGCCUCAGUAAUGGGGCCAGUGGGACCUCGGCGCAGACCAACAACCCGCUGUCGCGGAAGCUGCGUAAGAUACUGGACACGCGGCUGGACAACGACAAGGAGAUGUUGGAAGCUCUCAAGGCACUCUCAACCUUUUUUGUUGAAAAUAGUUUGCGGACUCGAAGAAAUUUACGUGGAGAUAUUGAACGCAGAAGCUUAGCCAUCAAUGAAGAGUUUGUAAGCAUUUUCAAGGAUGUGAAGGAAGAACUUGAAAGCAUACAUGAAGAUGUUCAGGCGAUGAGUACCUGUUGUCAAGACAUGACAAGUCGCCUGCAGGCAGCCAAGGAACAAACUCAAGAUUUAAUAGUGAAAACCACUAAGCUUCAAGCUGAAAGUCAGAGAUUAGAAAUCCGAGCCCAAGUUGCAGAUGCCUUCUUAUCCAAGUUCCAGCUGACAUCCGAUGAGAUGAGUCUUCUCCGAGGGACAAGAGAAGGACCUAUCACUGAGGAUUUUUUCAAGGCCUUUGGAAGAGUAAAACAGAUUCAUAACGAUGUAAAAGUUCUCUUGCGUACAAACCAGCAAACAGCAGGUUUAGAAAUUAUGGAACAGAUGGCCUUGCUUCAAGAAACAUCUUAUGAAAGACUUUACCGAUGGGCUCAAAAUGAAUGCAGAUCAUUGACACAGGAAUCAUGUGACAUAUCUCCAGUACUGACUCAGGCAAUGGAAGCUCUACAGGACAGACCUGUCUUAUAUAAGUAUACCUUAGAUGAGUUUGGAACAGCCAGAAGAAGUACAGUUGUUCGUGGAUUUAUUGAUGCUCUUACAAGAGGAGGCCCAGGAGGUACACCUAGACCCAUUGAAAUGCACUCCCAUGACCCUUUGAGAUAUGUAGGAGAUAUGUUGGCUUGGCUCCAUCAAGCUACUGCUUCUGAGAAGGAACACCUUGAAGCUCUCUUAAAGCAUGUAACUACACAAGGUGUUGAAGAAAAUAUUCAAGAAGUUGUUGGCCAUAUCACUGAGGGUGUGUGCAGGCCUCUAAAGGUUCGAAUUGAACAAGUAAUAGUUGCUGAACCUGGGGCAGUUUUAUUAUAUAAAAUUUCUAACCUCCUCAAAUUUUACCAUCAUACAAUCAGCGGCAUUGUUGGAAAUAGUGCAACUACAUUGUUGACUACCAUUGAAGAAAUGCAUUUGCUGAGCAAAAAAAUAUUCUUCAAUAGCUUGAGUCUUCAUGCAAGCAAAUUAAUGGACAAGGUUGAACUCCCACCACCUGAUCUUGGACCAAGUUCUGCAUUAAAUCAGACACUCAUGUUGUUGCGUGAAGUUUUGGCAUCUCAUGAUUCCUCAGUUGUACCAUUAGAUGCCCGUCAAGCUGAUUUUGUGCAGGUUUUAUCAUGUGUCUUGGAUCCUCUCCUCCAGAUGUGUACUGUAUCAGCCAGCAAUUUAGGCACUGCCGACAUGGCCACUUUCAUGGUCAAUUCACUCUACAUGAUGAAGACAACAUUAGCUCUGUUUGAAUUCACUGACAGACGUCUGGAGAUGCUGCAGUUCCAGAUUGAAGCACAUUUGGAUACACUUAUAAAUGAGCAAGCUUCUUAUGUUUUAACUCGAGCAGGCUUGAGUUAUAUCUAUAACACCGUGCAGCAGCAUAAACCUGAACAGGGCCCGUUAGCUAAUUUGCCCAACCUAGAUUCUGUGGCAGUGAAAGCUGCGAUGGUUCAGUUUGAUCGCUAUCUCUCAGCCCCAGACCACCUGUUAAUGCCACAGCUGAACUUUCUUCUAAGUGCCACAGUGAAGAGCCAUCCAGUCACAGUGAUAUCUGGGCUGAUGUUGUCUCCAACUGAAACCAUGUCACGGAUCCUUAACCUGGGCAGGUGUGAGAAGUCAGAAGACAAUACUUCUGGUUCCUGUGUUAGGGAUCAUCCACAUUUCACUCGCCCUAAGGACCAGGUGAGGGUUAGAAGUCCUUAAACAGAAUGUCUCUCUCCACCAUGGGCCCCUGCCUGCAGCAUCACCUACACCUGCUCGGUGGCAUUAAUCACUUUGGAGGUGACUUUGUUUUUAUGUUUGUUUCUUUCACUUAGUUGCAAGGCUUAAGGCAAUGUGGUAGAAGGAUGGGGCUGGAUUCAAAUCCCUCUGGGCCACCUUUUAAGCUAGAGACACAGGUUGGGCUCUGUGACCUCCCCAAUUCUCUGUUUUAUCACUGGGGUAAUAAAAAGGUGAGACUGAUAAAACCUUUAUCACACGGUUGAAUAAGUGACACAUAUGUAUUUACUUGCUAUAUCUAUUAGGGACUCAAGAAACAAGCAUGUCUACACCUACUUUUAAGACUGUUAUUUUAGUAAUCAGUGCUUUGCCCUGUACUUGCCCUUAGUAGGGGAUGCAAUAAAUGUACAUGAAAAAAAUAAAUCAAUAAAAAAGGGCGAAGGAGUCAGCCAAAUUUCUGAGAAGGGAGUUUGCCUGGAAGGCACUCCAUUCUCUCUCCUCCAGUCGGCAUCCCUCACCCACACUCCUAACCUUCCGGACGCAUGUCCAGGUUUCGUGUCCUGUUAGCAUGGAGGUGGGGUGGACAGGAAGGGCAGGGGCUCCGGGCUUUCACUGCCUGCUUUUCAGUUCAUCUGUUGAGAUGGCUGGAGACCACUGCUCUGUGUCUAAGCCUAAAUCUACCUAAAUGGGAAUGAAUCAGUGUUUCUGAAAAUUUUUGCUGUUAGGUGUGAAGACAAGUUUACAGUGUUAAAAAUAUGUCCCCAGAUAGCCCACUGGUGGUGACUCUCUGGCUCUGGGCUAUGACAACCUUCAAGGGGACAGAGAAGGACGGAACUGCACCCCUGCCCACCAUCUCCUAGUGCCGUGCUCCGAGAGCAGAAAAGGAUGAAAGGCAAGCCUCCUCCAAGAAGAUGAAAAGGCUGCUUGUUAGGAAGCAUCGCAUUUUCCAUGGUAAAUGCUUUUCAGAACCCAGGUAGAGCCUGAGCCGUUUCCCUGGUGUGUGUCAAGCCCCAAGCCGCAGACGCAGGAAGGGGCAGAUCAUGAGCAACGGGGGCUGUGGGCCGAGGGAUCCCGUGUUUAGACAGAUGGCGUCCAGGGGUGCGUGGGGCCAGAGAAAGCAGAGCUCCACGCCCGGAGCACGGCCCCAGGGGGGCGAGUGGAAAUGUCCGCGAGGAGCGCGUGAGGUCAUGGCGAGAGCUGGGCGUGAGGACAGGGUUCUCCAUCAUCGUCACCAGCAAAGAGAGGGGGGUUAGUCAUCAGCUGCAGAGGUGGCUUGUUUUUCCUGAAGGAGAGUAUGAAUGAGAGAAUGAAGUCAUAUGAAAAAGGGUAUCAAAAAUAAGAAGCCAGAGUGACAGAUUUGGGUGAGUGGGGUGGGGGUGGCAGUCCUACUUCCUUGUCACCUCCUGACCACCGUGUUCCCUCAGUCUAGACUGGUUUACUCCUUAGGUUUGACUUCAUGCAUCCGCAUGGAUCAAUUGGUAAUGGCUGCCUAGAACGUAGGAAAAGAAUCUGCUGAUUGAUGACUGAUGUCUGCCCCGGCACAGGAAAGAGGAAUAUGGGUUAUGGGAACAAGCUUAAGUUAACUGUGAGCCCACACAAGGACCUGAAGGCCCAAGACUCACCUGAGAGCAGAGUGAGUGAAAAUUUGUCUACGGGGGAGCAAAUGAACAAGCAGAAGAUCUGCUCUGGCUCUUUGCUUUAUGUUUCAUUUUAAGGAUAGCACAGGCUUUUACCUGAGCAUCUCAGCUGCUGUGAUGAUCCAGGAAGCAGUGGGAUCACCAAGCUCUCGCCUGAAAUAAUGCCACCCGACAAUCGACCGCUAGAUUACUCGCCUUUUUCCUACUUGAUGAUCUGUCACGUUGGACAUCCUCUUCCCACCGUUCAGCUGAGAGGCGAGAUGGGAAUUUUUCACAAGAAACUUUAUAGGAAGCUAAGAAGGCAGAAAAAGAAAAUGUAUUUUCCCCCUCCCUCCUCCUCGUCCUUUUCUUGCUAUUUCUCCUUUUUGUUUUUUUCAUUAAAGAGCACAAAAAAGACUGGUACAGCUUCUAGACACUUACAUUUACCCCCUUUUUCUACUUUAGCUCCUUAUUCUGGAAGGAAGUAUUCUUCUCAGAUACCUCAGCUACAUGCGCCUUCACGAUGCUAGCAGAGCUUCGCGUUGUUUGUUUUAAUCACACUUUCACAAUAACAAGCCGAAAUUCAUUAAAGGAAAAGAGAGUUACUUCUUUCUCAUGCUCUGCUAUUUUUUUUGGCCACUAUUGAAAACAUUCAUUUUAAAACUAACCUAGCAAGCUUUGGGACCAAGGGAAGUGGUAAAACAGCUCCUAUUCACUUUUGUUUAAAAUGUAACCUAGAAGGGAAAAUUAAAAUUCCGAGAAAACACCAAACAAAAUAGGGGGAAUUUGGCAUUCUGGUGCAAAAUUCAAUUUAACAUACAUCUCAGAAUUUUCGAACUAUGCCUCUUGGAAUAAACAAUUUGAGUUACCAAAACA
Molecule: RNA transcript, 4588 nt
Organism: Phacochoerus africanus (Common warthog)
Lineage: Eukaryota; Metazoa; Chordata; Mammalia; Artiodactyla; Suidae
Gene: COG6
Gene name: component of oligomeric golgi complex 6
Exons: 24
Source: RefSeq, a predicted model, not a curated record